Esox lucius (northern pike) is the source of this 601-nucleotide long non-coding RNA. The record is from Ensembl. NCBI's taxonomy places the organism in Eukaryota, Metazoa, Chordata, Actinopteri, Esociformes, Esocidae.
UCGGUCUGUUUAAAGUCAUGAGCGAUUGCAACGUUUAAUUUGAUUCUAAUUUGAACGUUUAAAAUAAUUGCAAGUCACAUUAUGACUCGUUUAGGUAAAAACAGAGAUUUACCAGGAAGUAAGGUUUUCCGCGAUAGAUCUUCCUGAAAUAUGUCUGUCUGGUCGCUUGGCAUGUUAUGUCUGUAGGGAUGUCACGAGAACCGAUACUUCGGUACAAAGUCGAUGCCAAAAUACCGGGGAUCCAAAACGUGACAGAUAGCGGCAAGUGCUGCAGCUCCGCCUCGACUUGAGUGUCGCGAACUUUGCGUUCGAGGCGGAUCAGGGUAUAAUGAAUUCGCAAAAACCAAAAUGCAAAUGGUGCCUUGAAACGUUCGUGACUAAAGGAGUAAACGCUACCAACUUAGCGAAACACUUCAAAGACAGACAUGCAGAUUCGUUUAAAGAAUUCAAGACGGGUGUGAUGGAAUGGUGGGAUGACAGGCAGUGAGAUGUGAGAGAGAGUAAGCUCCAACAGUGACUGGCUGGGAUGACAGUGGGGCCACCAGUGUGGAAACCGCUGUGUGUGGACGUGUUGGCGACGGUCUCCACUGUGACAGGACGG